Molecule: ribosomal RNA, 229 nt
Filed under: uncultured bacterium
Lineage: Bacteria
Description: partial 16S ribosomal RNA
Rfam family: Bacterial small subunit ribosomal RNA
Source: RNAcentral
CGGGGUGAGUAAUGCUUGGGAAUCUAGCUUAUGGAGGGGGAUAACUACGGGAAACUGCAGCUAAUACCGCGUAAUAUCGAAAGAUUAAAGUGUGGGACCUUCGGGCCACAUGCCAUAGGAUGAGCCCAAGUGGGAUUAGGUAGUUGGUGAGGUAAAGGCUCACCAAGCCGACGAUCUCUAGCUGGUCUGAGAGGAUGACCAGCCACACUGGGACUGAGACACGGCCCAG